This 459-nucleotide ribosomal RNA is filed under the name uncultured bacterium. RNAcentral describes it as "partial 16S ribosomal RNA". It matches the Rfam family "Bacterial small subunit ribosomal RNA", at positions 338 to 795 of the family's 1533-position model. The record is from RNAcentral.
CCUACGGGGGGCAGCAGUGAGGAAUAUUGGUCAAUGGGCGCGAGCCUGAACCAGCCAAGUAGCGUGAGGGAAGACGGUCCUAUGGAUUGUAAACCUCUUUUGUCGGGGAGCAAAAGACGCCACGCGUGGCGUUCCGAGAGUACCCGAAGAAAAAGCAUCGGCUAACUCCGUGCCAGCAGCCGCGGUAAUACGGAGGAUGCGAGCGUUAUCCGGAUUUAUUGGGUUUAAAGGGUGCGCAGGCGGAAGAUCAAGUCAGCGGUAAAAUUGAGAGGCUCAACCUCUUCGAGCCGUUGAAACUGGUGUUCUUGAGUGAGUGAGAAGUAUGCGGAAUGCGUGGUGUAGCGGUGAAAUGCAUAGAUAUCACGCAGAACUCCGAUUGCGAAGGCAGCAUACCGGCGCGCAACUGACGCUGAUGCACGAAAGUGUGGGUAUCGAACAGGAUUAGAUACCCUGGUAGUC